AGAGUUUGAUCCUGGCUCAGGAUGAACGCUGGCGGCGUGUUUAAGGCAUGCAAGUCGAAUGCCCUCUUCGGAGGACAUGGCGAACGGGUGAGUAACACAUUGGUAACCUACCCCUGUCACGGAGAUAACCCGGAGAAAUCCGGAAUAAUAUCCGAUGGACUCCAAUCUCAUAAGAGUAUUGGAGUAAAGUUCCGACGGACAGGGAGGGGCCUAUGUCUGAUUAGUUUGUUGGUAGGGUAAUGGCCUACCAAGACUAUGAUCAGUAGCGGGGAUGGAAGUCUGACCCGCCUCACUGGGACUGAGACACUGCCCAGACUCCUACGGGAGGCUGCAGUCGAGAAUCUUCCUCAAUGCCCGAAAGGGUGAAGGAGCGACGCCGCGUGCAGGAAGACGCCCCUUGGGGUGUAAACUGCUUUUAUAUCUGAAGAAACUUCGGUUGACGGUAAGAUAUGAAUAAGGACCUCCUAAUUUCGUGCCAGCAGGAGCGGUAAUACGAAAGGUCCAAGCGUUAUCCGGUUUUAUUGGGCGUAAAGCGUCCGCAGACGGUUGAAAAAGUUUUUGGUUAAAUUCCGGGGCCCAACCCCGGAGCUGCCAAAAAAACUCUUCAACUAGAGGGUGGGAGAGGUCAGCGGAAUGGCUGGUGUAGGAGUCAAAUCCGUUAAUAUCAGCUAGAACACCAAAGGCGAAGGCAGCUGACUGGAACACUCCUGACGUUCAGGGACGAAAGCGUGGGUAGCGAAAGGGAUUAGAUACCCCUGUAGUCCACGCCGUAAACGAUGGAUACUUGACAUUGGUAGUCUCGACCCUAUCAGUGUCGCUCUAACUAAGUUAACACCUUAAGUAUCCCGCCUGGGGAGUACGAGCGCAAGCUUAAAACUCAAAGGAAUAGACGGGGACCCGCACAAGCGGUGGAGCAUGUGGUUUAAUUCGAUGAUAAGCGAGGAACCUCACCAGGGCUUGACAUCCUGCCUAUAUUCAACCUUAACCGGAUGAAUUUAGUGGCAGUGACAGGUGCUGCAUGGUUGUCGUCAGCAUGUGCCGUGAGGUGCACCGUUAAUUCGGGUAACAUGCGCAACCCUCAUCCUAAGUUGUUUUUUCUUAGGAAACUGCUCCGGAUAACGGAGAGGAAGGUGGGGAUGACGUCAAAUCAGCAUGGUCCUUACGCUCUGGGCUACACACGUGCUACAAUGGCCAUUACAAUGGGUCGCUAAGCCGCAAGGCGGAGCCAAUCCCAUCAAAAGUGGCCUCAGUUCGGAUUGAGGUCUGCAACUCGACCUCAUGAAGUUGGAAUCGCUAGUAAACGCGGAUCAGCCUCGCCGCGUUGAAUACGUUCCCGGGCCUUGUACACACCGCCCGUCACACCAUGGGAGUGGGUUGCACCAGAAGUAGCUAGACUAACCUUCGGGAGGUCGGUUACCACGGUGUGAUUCAUGACUGGGGUGAAGUCGUAACAAGGUAACC
Molecule: ribosomal RNA, 1461 nt
Filed under: uncultured bacterium
Lineage: Bacteria
Description: bacterial SSU rRNA
Rfam family: Bacterial small subunit ribosomal RNA
Source: RNAcentral